Molecule: ribosomal RNA, 561 nt
Filed under: Otophryne pyburni group sp. ABGD cluster 1
Lineage: Eukaryota; Metazoa; Chordata; Amphibia; Anura; Microhylidae
Description: partial large subunit ribosomal RNA
Rfam family: Bacterial large subunit ribosomal RNA
Source: RNAcentral
CAAAAACAUCGCCUCCCGCCCCCAAUGGGAGGUCCAGCCUGCCCAGUGAUAAACAUUAAACGGCCGCGGUACCCUAACCGUGCGAAGGUAGCGCAAUCACUUGUUCCCUAAAUAGGGACUAGUAUGAACGGCAUCACGAGGGUUAUGCUGUCUCCCCCCUUUAAUCAGUGAAACUGAUUUACCCGUGAAGAAGCGGGUAUGAACCUAUAAGACGAGAAGACCCCAUGGAGCUUUAAACCUAACAAGCACCUAUUUUAACACACCACACUAAUUAAAUAGCCAUGAAUGUUGGUUUUCGGUUGGGGCGACCGCGGAGUAAAACCAAACCUCCGCGACGAAAGGAAACACCCCUAAUUUAAGAGCCACAGCUCAACUAAUCAACAAAUUGACGUUUAUUGACCCAAUUCUUUGAUCAACGAACCAAGUUACCCUGGGGAUAACAGCGCAAUCCACUUCAAGAGCUCCUAUCGACAGGUGGGUUUACGACCUCGAUGUUGGAUCAGGGUAUCCUAGUGGUGCAGCCGCUACUAAAGGUUCGUUUGUUCAACGAUUAAAACCCUA